AGCGAACGCUGGCGGCAGGCUUAACACAUGCAAGUCGAGCGGGCCCUUCGGGGUCAGCGGCAGACGGGUGAGUAACGCGUGGGAACGUGCCCUUCGGUUCGGAAUAACUCAGGGAAACUUGAGCUAAUACCGGAUACGCCCUUAUGGGGAAAGGCUUGCUGCCGAAGGAUCGGCCCGCGUCUGAUUAGCUAGUUGGUGAGGUUAUGGCUCACCAAGGCGACGAUCAGUAGCUGGUCUGAGAGGAUGAUCAGCCACACUGGGACUGAGACACGGCCCAGACUCCUACGGGAGGCAGCAGUGGGGAAUAUUGGAAAAUGGGGGCAACCAUGAUCCAGCCAUGACGCGUGAGUGAUGACGGCCUUAGGGUUGUAAAGCUCUUUUAUCCGGGACGAUAAUGACGGUACCGGAGGAAUAAGCCCCGGCUAACUUCGUG
This 433-nucleotide ribosomal RNA is filed under the name uncultured bacterium. RNAcentral's name for it is "partial 16S ribosomal RNA". It matches the Rfam family "Bacterial small subunit ribosomal RNA", at positions 29 to 507 of the family's 1533-position model. The record is from RNAcentral.